This 126-nucleotide non-coding RNA is filed under the name Candidatus Brocadiaceae bacterium B188. Lineage: Bacteria; Pseudomonadati; Planctomycetota; Candidatus Brocadiia; Candidatus Brocadiales; Candidatus Brocadiaceae. The record is from RNAcentral.
UAACGGGUGAAAGUCCCGUCGUGGUAAAAGCCGGAGCCAUGUAGCUUGGAUGGCAGGGGGCGAUGGAAACAUUACCUUCUGAAGCCUGUCGAUUGGUAAAGGCCAACGAUACAGACCGGGUCAAAU